Mytilinidion resinicola is the source of this 112-nucleotide non-coding RNA. The record is from the annotation of a RefSeq genome assembly. Lineage: Eukaryota; Fungi; Ascomycota; Dothideomycetes; Mytilinidiales; Mytilinidiaceae.
UCCGGUGUAGUUUAGUUGGCCAUAACGCAUUAGGCAAGCUCUUUGUGCCGGGCCAGAUGGCCUGGCUCAUACCUUGACCGGUGUAACCCGCGUUCGAUCCGCGGCGCCGGAC